UACGGGAGGCAGCAGUGGGGAAUCUUAGACAAUGGGGGCAACCCUGAUCUAGCCAUGCCGCGUGAGUGAUGAAGGCCUUAGGGUUGUAAAGCUCUUUCAGCUGGGAAGAUAAUGACGGUACCAGCAGAAGAAGCCCCGGCUAACUCCGUGCCAGCAGCCGCGGUAAUACGGAGGGGCUAGCGUUGUUCGGAAUUACUGGGCGUAAAGCGCACGUAGGCGGACUGGAAAGUCAGAGGUGAAAUCCCAGGGCUCAACCUUGGAACUGCCUUUUGAAACUAUCAGUCUGGAGUUUCGAGAGAGGUGAGUGGAAUUCCGAGUGUAGAGGUGAAAUUCGUAGAUAUUCGGAGGAACACCAGUGGCGAAGGCGGCUCACUGGCUCGAUACUGACGCUGAGGUGCGAAAGCGUGGGGAGCGAAACAGGGAUUAGGAUACC
This 433-nucleotide ribosomal RNA is filed under the name uncultured bacterium. RNAcentral describes it as "bacterial SSU rRNA". It matches the Rfam family "Bacterial small subunit ribosomal RNA", at positions 340 to 786 of the family's 1533-position model. The record is from RNAcentral.